Molecule: long non-coding RNA, 1919 nt
Filed under: Sarcophilus harrisii (Tasmanian devil)
Lineage: Eukaryota; Metazoa; Chordata; Mammalia; Dasyuromorphia; Dasyuridae
Description: lncRNA (ENSSHAG00000022007.1)
Source: RNAcentral
AUGAGGGAUGGUCCUAGAAAUAGAAUAGUUGUAAUUGCGUUUAUGGCAAUAAUAUUUGCAUAUUCUGCUAGAAAGAAUAUAGCGAAGGGGCCGGCGGCGUAUUCUACAUUAAAACCAGAUACUAGUUCGGAUUCUCCUUCAGUUAAAUCAAAUGGUGCUCGAUUUGUUUCUGCUAGUGUAGAGAUAUAUCAUAUUAUAGCUAGAGGUCAUGUUGUAAUGAUAAGUCAGAAGUUUUCUUGGGUGACUGAUAUUGUUUUUAAUGUGAAGGAUCCGUUGAUUAAUAUAAUAGAUAGGAGAAUAAUAGCCAGGGAGACUUCAUACGAGAUAUUCUUAAUUUACUACUAAAUCCUCCUUCAUGUCUUUAUUUCAGUUGACAAUUCGUUAUGCUCUAGUAUAGAAAAUGUAGCCCAUUACUUCCCCCUUCAUAUGUUACACCUUGACCUAACGUUUUUAUGAUUUGAUGAUUUUGCUCACUUUGGGCCCCUAUUGGGGUGAGCUGACGAUGGCGGUAUAUAGACUGUUGAGCGAGAAGGGGUGAGGUAUAUCGGGGUUUAUCGAUUAUAGAACAGGCUCCUCUAGGAGGGUCUAGGGCACCGCCAAGUCCUUUGAGUUUUAAGCGGUUGCUAGUAGUUCUCUGGCGAGUAAUUUUGUUAUUUAAUUACCUAGGUUUACGGCCAAGCAUAGUGGGGUCUCUAAUCCCAGUUUGUACCUUAGCUUUAGUGUCUUCAGCAUUAGUAAAGUCACGUAAGUUGUGUAUUUUAGUAUCAACUAGGGCGUAUUACAGCAUAAUUGAAUUUUAGCUUUAUUUGUUUGGUUGCGUGCUUAAACACCCUUUACGCCGUGUUUCUGUUAAUUUGGGUUAAUCGUAUGACCGCGGUGGCUGGCACGAGAUUUACCAACCCUUAUUUAUUAUGAUUUAGUCAAACUUUCGUUUAUAGCUCAAUAUUAGUCACUGCUGUAACCCGUGGGGGUGUGGUUAAACAAGGUGUCAUGGGCUGCUGUUUUAGUGUGCCUGAUACCAGCUCCUUUAUACUUUAAUGGAAUUAAAAGGGCAUACUCACUGGGUUGCGGAAACUUGCAUGUGUAGGUCUAAUAAAAAUUAACAGUAAGGCCAGGACCAAGCCUCUGUGCUUGUGGAACUGAUUAAAGUCCAUCUAAGCAUUUUCAGUGCUUUGCUUUGCGUUAAGCUACACAAACAGUGAGUUAUGAAUUUUAAAAUUUAUCAGAAAUUUUUGAAAAUUUUAAGUUUGUAUACUAUGUCAGUAUUAAAUUUAUUUUAGGUUUUUUUCGUUUUUUUUUUUAUAAAAUUAAAAUUUGGAAUAGAAAACGGUUGUAUGUGUGAUUUAUAGAAUAUUGGGAGGUAUUGUUGAAGAAUUUAUAUAAGUAGAAGUUUGACAAUGAGUAGUGGCGGGUUAGAUUUAGUUAGGCCUAGUUGUUACUUGUGUGUUUUUAAAGCCUAUUUCUCCGAGGUAUUUAGUUACCAUACUAGAGGACUAUCAUCCGGUUUUGGGGUUUGACGGAAGCGAUAAAAUUUAGUAAGGGGGGUAGGGGGGUUUAGUGGUAGAAAACUUUUAUAAAUAUAUUUGUACUUGUUGUUGUUUUAAACACACACGCACACACACACGCAACACAUACACAUACGCACACAUACACAUACGCACACACAUACACAUACACAUACGCACACAUACACAUACACAUACACACACAUACACACACACAUAUAUAUACACACGCCCACCUAUACAAAAACUCCUCUGACUGUACUAUUUUAGUCGAAAGUGAAAUAUUGCGGGGGGGGCGGGGGAAAUAUAAACUCACUUAGAAGGAGUAUAUAUAGAAGAGGGCACAAGUGUGAGUUGAAUGUUAAAUGAUAUUACCUAAAAAAACAAUGGUUUAGAAAGAAAUGUAUUGAAGAA